CAGACACAGAACAUUCCCACAAUGCAUUAGCAUUCCCUCCCCUCUGCCCUGGAGAUAAUUGAGAAGAAAUUCAAUUAUCUCCAGGACAGAGGCAAAUCACCAUUUUAAAUUCAACACAGCAAAACAUAUGAAAAUCUAUAACUUUACUUUUGUCGAAUGCUACACAUUCGUAUCACGUAUCCCCAGAUAGCCUGGAUCUGAG
Molecule: non-coding RNA, 202 nt
Organism: Pelobates cultripes (western spadefoot toad)
Lineage: Eukaryota; Metazoa; Chordata; Amphibia; Anura; Pelobatidae
Source: the annotation of a GenBank genome assembly